CGCCCUUCCAGAGGGGGACAACAGUUGGAAACGACUGCUAAUACCGCAUACGAUCUAAUCUCGGCAUCGAGGAUGGAUGAAAGGUGGCCUCUAUUUAUAAGCUAUCACUGAAGGAGGGGAUUGCGUCUGAUUAGCUAGUUGGAGGGGUAACGGCCCACCAAGGCGAUGAUCAGUAGCCGGUCUGAGAGGAUGAACGGCCACAUUGGGACUGAGACACGGCCCAG
This 224-nucleotide ribosomal RNA is filed under the name uncultured bacterium. Its description in RNAcentral is "partial 16S ribosomal RNA". It matches the Rfam family "Bacterial small subunit ribosomal RNA", at positions 126 to 334 of the family's 1533-position model. The record is from RNAcentral.